RNAcentral lists this unclassified non-coding RNA (139 nucleotides) under soil metagenome. Its description in RNAcentral is "partial internal transcribed spacer 1". The record is from RNAcentral.
CCUAGAGUUGUAGGCUUUGCCUGCUAUCUCUUACCCAUGUCUUUUGAGUACCUUCGUUUCCUCGGCGGGUCCGCCCGCCGAUUGGACAAUUUAAACCAUUUGCAGUUGCAAUCCAGCGUCUGAAAAAACUUAAUAGUUA